GGUCAACAUGAUCUUUGUAAAAUAUAUCCUAACUUAUACGUUAUUCAAUCUACUUUCCAGAUACGUGGCAUGCAUACACUUAUCCGUGAUGCACAGACGACAAAGCAUGAUUUUGUGUUCUAUGCUGAUAGAUUGAUUCGAUUGGUUGUUGAACAUGGACUAGGCCAUCUGCCGUUUACAGAAAAACAGGUGAUCACUCCAACUGGAUCUGUAUACAGCGGUGUAGAUUUUUGCAAGAGGUUAUGUGGUGUCUCUGUGAUUAGAAGGUAAUUAUUGUUCGUCUCCCUUGAUUUCUUCAUAUAUGAGGU
Nicotiana tabacum (common tobacco) is the source of this 308-nucleotide non-coding RNA. The record is from RefSeq and is a predicted model, not a curated record. NCBI's taxonomy places the organism in Eukaryota, Viridiplantae, Streptophyta, Magnoliopsida, Solanales, Solanaceae.